RNAcentral lists this non-coding RNA (246 nucleotides) under Sporomusa sphaeroides. RNAcentral describes it as "Sporomusa sp. T-box sequence". It matches the Rfam family "T-box leader". From Rfam's summary of the family: Uncharged tRNA acts as the effector for transcription antitermination of genes in the T-box leader family. The record is from RNAcentral. Lineage: Bacteria; Bacillati; Bacillota; Negativicutes; Selenomonadales; Sporomusaceae.
AUAAAUGCAAUGAACGGGAUAAGUAAAUUGGCUGCGCUAUUAUCAGAGAGCCGGGGGGUGGUGUGACCCGGUAGGCGUGCUUAUUGAAAUACACCUGUGAGCAGCAGGUUGAACGGAUACCAAGUAGACUGCGCCGGAUGCCACCGUUAUCAGAGGCUAGGGUAUCGGAAUGUCCUGUACCUGAAAAAAGUGGCUUGCUAUUUUAAGCAAGCAGGGUGGUACCGCGAGUAAAGUCUCGUCCCUGUU